Long non-coding RNA from Pteropus alecto (black flying fox), 6634 nucleotides. RefSeq lists it as uncharacterized. The record is from RefSeq and is a predicted model, not a curated record. Lineage: Eukaryota; Metazoa; Chordata; Mammalia; Chiroptera; Pteropodidae. The transcript is spliced from 2 exons.
GUUUUUUUGUUUUUUUCUUUUUUUGGAGGGAAAGCACCUUACAACAAAGAAUAAUACUAUUUUGAAUUUCAGAGCUUUCCCUUUUUCAAAGCUCUUUACCCCUUCUGACUUAAUUUGUCCUCAGAGCAAGGCCAUAACUAAGUAGGGAAGGAUUUUUAGUACCGAUCUUGCAGCCUGAGAAAAAGCUCACAUUAUGGAAAGUUAAAGAGGAGAGGUGAAGACAGGGUUGCUUUGUCAUCUCUGGCCACACUCGGGCCCACAGAAGCUGUACUGGAACCAGGCGUGCCCAGGCUGUGCUCCUGCGGGGGACCGUGUUGUUAAAAGGAGCACGGGACCUCCCUCUUGCUCUGCCCUGGUCCACCCCAGCUCUCUGAUGGUGAGAAGCCUCUUUGAGGCCAUUUUUUCCAGAGGUUUGUGUGAUUUGCAAAUUUGAUAAACACGCCAUCCGUGUCUCUUCCUCCAACUUAUUUUCAACACGGCAAGUGGGCAGGACACAGGACAGAGCUCUGUGCCUCUCCAUGGAAACAUUCAAAUGACAUGACUGGUGCACACCAGCCACAGACAGACACUGUCACCUUGAAGUCCUCAACCUUCUCUAAGUGUGGAACUGCUGAGAAUCUUUUCAAAGCAGACUUGCCAGUGGAGAGGAAGCACUGAAUAGUCUGUCCAUCUGAGACCUUGUGGGUGGUCCGGCCAGCCUGGCCACCUCUGUGGCUGCAGUGGGGACAGAGGCCACAAGAUCAUCAUGCUGCCACAAGGUGACCUGGUCGGGAUGGCUGUCCUGCUGACUGUGGGCGCUCCCGGUCACACCUUUCCCUGCUGGUCCUGUGUACUUAUGUGCACAGGACACAACGAGAGAUAUUCAGAUGCUUACUGAAAGCAAGACAUACUUUCUGGGGCAUUCCCCCAAUCGACUGUUCUGGUGAAGCUCGUCAAAACAGGAAAUGAGGUUAGCAUGGAAUGACUUUCUCUCAGAGAACAGGCCUUGCCUCUGAGACCACCACUUUCCUCCCCAAUGCUGUGAGCCUGUCGGAUGCCUCCUCUGGGUUUGCCCGGAAGCCAGGCUGAGCAUGUGCUUCUGUAGCUGGUAGGACCCAUUGCUUUGGAAAAUGGAGGUGAUCUGCGCUCGAUCCCAGCCUUGCAAACCUUCCCCCUUUCACAGUAGUGCCUGGAAGACGUUUGCAAGCUGCUCUGAAGUUAUAUCCUCACACAUUUCAAACACAGCCAGAGCGUGGUCCAGGGAAGGCUCCAUGCAUGUCCCAGGCUGAGGGUUAUAUGCAAGCUCCCCACAUGGGCUUUAGGCAGCUCCCUUGUCAUGCCGCUUGGUCUAUGUGUCCCCUCAGAGAUGCCAGCAAAAGAGAUGGCUCCAGCAAGAUGGACCAUGGUGGGCACAGUCCACCUUCCCGCUGCUCCCUGAGUUUGGUCAGAAACACAGUGACAAUGGAGCUGACCUGGCUUCACUCAUGGGAGGCCCUAUGUGGGGUUCUCCGACACAGUUAUCAGAAGAAGCCAGGGUUUCACCGUCCAGGCCACCGGCAGCAGACCGAUCUAUGCUGAGGCCUUCUGACCAAUGGCCCCACUUGGACUUUGUAGAUUUAAACCUUUUUGUUAAUGCAGAGUGCUGUGGAGUCACAUUGGCUUCUGUCUGAUGGAAGGGCGUCAACCUGGGGAGACUUGGGUUUGACUCCCAGGUAUCCCCACAUAUGCAAGGUGGGUUACCUCUUGGAGGUUGACCUGUGUAUGACACUCUCACUGUUUUAGUAUCAGCUCUGCUCUCUUUUACAUGAUUGGGCAGGAACUCAGAGGCCACUCUGAGUCCCUGUGGCCCUUCCUUCACACAGCGUCUCUGCUGGCCCCACAGGUGAACAGGUACUGCGUUCUCAGGGUGGCUGCCUAAGAAGAUGGAUUAGCACCCCCAGAGUGACCCCGGUGGCCAUUCCACCCAGCCUCUGUUGGCUCCGACACAACCUCUGGUGUGUCACCACAUUAUCGCUGUCCUCACAGCAGGCCCCAGGGCUGAGCUCAUCAUCCUUCCAUUUCAGUUAAGAAAGCUGAGUUCUGAUGGUUUCAAUGUGCCCCUGCUCUCUGAACCAGAGGCUGAAAGCUGCCCAUGAUUUAAAUCCAUCGGGGGUGUGGUAUGGCCACCCAGUGCUCCAGGUGCUGCUGCUUUGCACUUUAUAAAUAGGCAAAAGCAAAAACCUUUUCUCCUUAAAAUGGGCUGUGCGUGGUAAGGCAGUCAGGAGAAAGACACCCGAGCACAGCUGACAACAGGAAGAGACCAGAGGUCAAUGGCCUAGCGAGCAGAGACCUCUGCCCCCUCUUGUUGCAGCAGUGUGGCGACCACCAAGCCUCCUCUGUGUGGACACUGUGGCCAGGCUGGCCCUGCUCUGCCAGAGUUGUAUGAGGGCCCCCGCUAGGGGGCCAGGCUGGAGAUAGCUUGGUUUUCUGAAAACUGCCUGCCACUCCUCACUGUGUGGUCAGCCGAGGCAGAAAGGCAGAAGCCGGGAUCUGCACUCCAACGGCUGCUGGUCCCCUCUGGGCCCAGCCAGAGCUCCGUGUCCCCGUCUCUUCUCAGUGGGGAACAGAUGCUAGUAAAGUGAGUUCAGUCUUUAUGCUGGGAGCCAGUCAGAGGCCAGGGCUAGCAGUUAGAGGCUCUGGGGCUCAGGCUGACCUCCACCCCUUAGGCAACAGAGGGUCAGCGAGAUGGGGAUGGGAAGGGCUAGGAAACCAUGAAGACAGUGGCCCUAGUAGCAGGGGCUUUGCUGCCACUUGAGCAGGAAAAGCAAAAAAUCAGCCCAGCUCAAGGGUCCCACCCCGGCCCUUGCCAGUUCUCACUCCACCACUUCACUUGUGGAAUCUCUGGAGGCAGCAGAACCUGACUCUAGUGACUGCUGGUCCCUUUGGGCCCCUGGUUUGUCGGGGAUGGUCCCAUCGAGCCUAUUAGCCAGUUAGUGUCCGUGUAUCACCUUCAUCUCUGCCUUUUGUUUCAGACAUGUCCUGGUUCGGACAAUAAACUAUAUGGACCCCCAUCUUUAGGUCACCUUAAUAUUCACAAGAAGUUGCUCCACUGACACCAACUCCUUCAUACCCGUCAUCUCUAAGAAGGAAGUAUGUGGGCAGUUCACCAGCAGUCUGGCAAGUUGGCCCCAGAGUGGCAGGGCCAGCCCCGGAGUAGAUCGGGGGGAGAUGACGAGAAUGCACAUGUGCACACACGUGUGUGUGUGGUCAUGUGAGCCCUGUGGGGGUGUAUGUGCGUGUGUAUGGGGUGUGAGUGGAUAUCAUUGUGGGGCCUAUGGUACACGUGUAUGUGGUAUGUAUGCGGUGUGUAGUGUGUGUCUACCUGUGGGUGUUGUGUGUGUGCAUGUGUGCAUACGUGUGUGGUGUCUAUGGGGUGUGCAGGUGUGUGUGUAUGUGUAUGUGGUAUAUCUGUGGUAUGUGUGUGUGCAUAUGUGUGUGAUGUCUGUUGGAUGUGCAGGUAUGUGUAUAUGUAUGUGGUGUAUGCGUUCAUAUGUGCGUGGAGUCUCGGGUUUGCAGGUGUGUGUGUAUGUGGUAUGUGUGUGGUAUGUGUGUGCAUACAUGUGUAGUAUCUGUGGGGGUGUGCAGAUAUGUGUGUGUGUGUGUGUGGUGUGUGUGUGUUGUGCAUGUGUGCAUAUGUGCAUGGUGUCUAUGGGGUGUGCAGAUGUGCAGAAUGAGAGUGUGGCGCUCCUGGAGCAUGUGAGGGAGGACAAGUGCUAUCCCAGGCUGAUGGUGGGCACUCUCCAGACCCACACAGAGCUUCUCAUAGCACCACCAGAGGAAGGCACCCCAGUGGGGGCAUGGGUGCGUGAGGUGGGGACGUGGCCGGGCACAGCCCUGAGCCCCUGCCUGGAGUCCUUGAAGGCAGAACCGGGCCUCACCGUUCAUGCCCAGCUGGUGACUGGCGUAUAGUGGGGCCUCAGAAAGAAUGUGCCCGGGGUGAAGUACCCUGAACGGAAGCCCCUUCCUUGUGCUCUGCCAGCUGACAUGCGAUGCUGGGAGAGUGCCUGGGGCUCCAAGUUGCAUGUUCAAUGUCCGUAUCUCCUGCUGGCAUGCCCAGUAAUGCUCUCUCCUGGAAAGAUUGCACAGGCAGCCGAGCCCUCUAGGCCAGCACAGGUGCCCACCUGUCCACUGCCUGCUGCUCCAGGGGGAGUAUCACUCAAGUUAGCCGAGGACCAUUGAAGGUGCCUUGAUGAAUCUCUUACUGAGAUGGGAAUGACCCAGGAAAGGAUUUCUGGAGACCGGGUGGGGCUGGGGCUGGGGAAGCAGAGUCUGUGCAGAUGACAGGAUUGAGCAGAUGACAGGGUCACGCAGAUGACAGGGUUGCACAGACACGCCAUCCGGUUUGCAGUGUCUCCAGGAGCUCAUUCAGCCACCCCGAGCCUGGGUCUCCAAAUCCACACACGGGACAAUAGCGCUGACCCCAUGGCACAGGAGGCUGUUUGUGAUGUUAUGUGGAUGCCCAGAGGGCCACCUGGCACGAGGCACAGAGCCAACAAGUGACGAUUCUCAUCACUGCCAUCCUAAUUCUUAAAAACUGAGGGUUUUUUGUUUUGUUUGUUUUGUUUUGGUUUUGUUUUGUUUUAAUAAACGUGUCAAGAAAUAGUAGAAACAUGCCCUGGUAAGAAUACUCUGAUGGGGUCCCAAUAACCUAAGCCAAAAAUAUAAAAUAGCAAAAGGAAGAAAAGAUCUAGAAAGCAGGGGUAGCAGGGACAGCAGUCUUCGAAAAAAGGUCAGGGGCCAGGGGUGGAGAGAGAGAAGUGCACGGUCAGCAGCCCGAGCCCUGCUUCCUCUGCCUGUGUAAGUGUGACGAGGGCCCAGUCCAGAAUCACAGAGCCAGACACAGUAUAGGAACACUGAUUUACUUUAACGUAAAUAUUUUGAUGUCUUUCUUUUCCUGAACUUUUAACCUUGCUGGUAAACAGAGUACCGACAGUAAAUGAAUUGUUUUUCUGAGAACUGACUUUUAAGGAAAUAGGAAAAAAACCUACAAUUUUUAUUAGCUAAUCGUCAGUCUUGUGCAGGGUUGAAACUCUCGGUAUUCUGCUUCUUAACUCUGCUUUAGGAGACACUUGGCUACCAAGAAAUUGCUUUAUUUUAAUUUAUAUAUGAAAAAAAAACCUAUAAAAUGUGUGAAUACACCCUUUCAGAAAUAGAAAAACUUACAAAGACAACAGAGGGAGGAAAGUCAUUCUGCAGAGGUUUCUGAGGCAAGAGAAAGAGCCAAUCCAAACUCCAGUUUGUCACUUGUGAUAGAAACCCCUCCCCCGCCCCAAUCCCCAGGAUUUUCCCUAUGGACUCCGGUCCUCUGCUCAGCACUCCUAUCGCCGUCACCGUUGAGAAGUUGUGAAGGAGGCACAGAGGGCAUCUGAAGUCCUGGCUGCAGAGUGUGGGCCUUAGGACACACUGUCACAUCCCAGGUGUGACCUUCCUUUCUCCAGGCAGGUGGAUGGCAGCCAUCUGUGUUUGUAAACACUGUCCCUGCCAAUAGACUGUGUGACACCAUUUGUGAUCAAUAAGAACAAUUACAGGGAACCGACCGGAACAAGGAAGCUCUGGACUCUACGUGGAUUUUUCACUUGAAAGUGCCAUCUAACCUCUGUCCUGCCAUUUCCUGAACUGUGAAGUGGACAUGUGACUUUCUGGCCUUCAGGCUUCUUGGAGGUGUUGUCGAAACACAGGAUCUGCAACUUUCUUCAAAAUAGUUGGGAAGAAAGAAGCCCUCUCCAUGCCACGUCAUGAUGGAGUCUCAUCGGGAUGGAAGCAGAGUGGCCGGUCCUUCAGGGUCCCUAAGCCUCAUAGUGACCCCAGCCUCCUCAGUAUUUACGCCAACAGCACUGUGUCUGUUCAGGUGGCCGCUGGGCUAUCUCUGUCGGAGGACGCCCUCUUUGGAAGACACAAUGAGGACAUGAGAGUAAACGUUUAAAGUCUUCCCUAAGAUACAGGGCGGUGGUAUGAUAGGACUUCUAAGAAAACUGCUCCUGCCUCCUUAGAAGGAGAAAGCAGGAAAAGAGGGAAGGCAGCGGGGAAGGUGAACCAAGCCACCCGCCUCUCUCCUAAGAUGAGGUGGGACGAACCACAGAGCUGCUGGGAGAAACCGCUUGCGGCAAGUUGACCCCCACCACUCUCCCUCCUACCCUCCCCCUUUCUUUCUGUUCAGAGUAAAUUAAAGAACUGGCUAAAAUCCACAUGUGUGGGUGCCAUCUUUAUCUGAUUGACCUAUACUCCUGGUCACAUCUUAUCAUUGCUUGUAAAGCAGCCCCUUCCUGUUUGCCAGACACAUGCUUCUUUAAAUGCUACAGACACACACACACACACUUCUGCUCUGCAGAAAAAUGCGACUCCAGGGCUCCAGUCCCCUAUGUUCACUGGAAGGGUUAAUUCUUAAAGACCAGGGCUGGUGUCAUAGCAAACCGCCCCAAACAUUUCAAUAGCUCUGCAAACAGCCUCUCUCUAAAAGCAAACAAGGUAAGACCCCAGGUAAAUACCAAAGAAUGGAAAUCUCAUACAUCUCCCCACCUGUGUCCUCCCUGUUAACAGGGUGUCCAUCAAUGGCUGAGGCUGGUAAGGCUAGGGAUUCGUUUAUAGCACUGCAUCAAUAAAAGAUUUUUUUAGAAAA